GGCAAAACAUCAGUAGCUUUAGCUUAGGGUAUUGUGAAGACCAAUGAAGGAAUAAUUAGUUACCUACUGAAGCUCAGUUAUCCGUUUUAUUUCCAUUGUAUCAAUCGGCAGUGCAUCGGUUACUGUAGUUGUCUAUCGAAACUACAUACAUGGAACGUUAAAGCUUUUUUUAUAUAUAUCCCUGUCAAGUAGGAAGUGAGCACAACAGCAUGGUAAACAUUGCAAGAAGGCUAACGUUAGCUUCUUAAGCCACCAAACCAUAAUUUGUAUUCAGUCAUGGCAUCUGAAUUUACUAUAGACAUCCAGCUUACGGAGUUGGGUUUUCACCAUCUUCCUGUAUUCGAUGAGGAGUUACCCAUAAAAGAGACAUCCCAAAUCAAUUCUUCAAGCAGCCCACCAAACGUUCCAGGACCUUCAAAAUCACCUCCUCCAGUAACAAACUCACCUGUGGACCAACGUCUGCUUGGUCUGGUUCAAGAUAAUGUUCAUACUCUUCCCAAAAGUUUGCCGGUUACUGUGCGGGCUGUGAACUCGCCCUCAUCUCAAUCCACCCAUGACAUGGUAGAGAAUAUCCAUCCCCAGUCUCCCCAUCACCUAGCAGUCAUCGAAAAAGACAUUUGUCCUGAAAAGGCGGCUUCCUCCGAUUUGAACCCUAAAACGAAGCCUGUUGUUACCACAAAACAAACACAGGCUGUAGGAGAAAAAAACGAUGAUGGCAAAACGGUUACCACCGAAAACAGAUCGUUUGUUGGCCGCCGUAGAAGAGAAGAGCAAAGCAAUCCAGAAAAGAAGGCCAGUGCCCAGAAGGGUGCGCUCCAGAUAGAUGAGGCGAUCUCCCAGAGUGACUCAAAUGGCAGUCAGGAAAACCCUGCGUUAGAAGAAAGUGAUGACAGUGAGGUUUCAGAACAGGAGGAGGAAGAAGAUGAGGAGGAGGAAGAUGAGGAUGAUGAUAACUUGUUAUUUGCUCCAGACGCGGCGGGAGAGCACCAUUGCAGUGUGUGCCAUCAGGCUUUCAUCAACGGCUUCCUCCUCCGGGAACACAUGCACCAGCAC
Molecule: long non-coding RNA, 1053 nt
Organism: Clupea harengus (Atlantic herring)
Lineage: Eukaryota; Metazoa; Chordata; Actinopteri; Clupeiformes; Clupeidae
Source: Ensembl